GUGGGGAAUAUUGGACAAUGGGGGGAACCCUGAUCCAGCCAUGCCGCGUGUGUGAAGAAGGCCUUUUGGUUGUAAAGCACUUUAAGCGAGGAGGAGGCUACCGAGAUUAAUACUCUUGGAUAGUGGACGUUACUCGCAGAAUAAGCACCGGCUAACUCUGUGCCAGCAGCCGCGGUAAUACAGAGGGUGCAAGCGUUAAUCGGAUUUACUGGGCGUAAAGCGUACGUAGGCGGCUUUUUAAGUCGGAUGUGAAAUCCCUGAGCUUAACUUAGGAAUUGCAUUCGAUACUGGGAAGCUAGAGUAUGGGAGAGGAUGGUAGAAUUCCAGGUGUAGCGGUGAAAUGCGUAGAGAUCUGGAGGAAUACCGAUGGCGAAGGCAGCCAUCUGGCCUAAUACUGACGCUGAGGUACGAAAGCAUGGGGAGCAAACAGGAUUAGAAACCCUAGUAGUCC
RNAcentral lists this ribosomal RNA (451 nucleotides) under uncultured bacterium. RNAcentral's name for it is "partial 16S ribosomal RNA". It matches the Rfam family "Bacterial small subunit ribosomal RNA", at positions 354 to 796 of the family's 1533-position model. The record is from RNAcentral.